CACGAACCGUACGAACGUUAUUCGGAAUUACUGGGCUUAAAGGGUUUGUAGGCGGCCUUGUAAGUCAGGUGUGAAAGCCCUCGGCUCAACCGAGGAACAGCGCUUGAUACUGCAAGGCUUGAGGGAGACAGGGGUAAGCGGAACUGAUGGUGGAGCGGUGAAAUGCGUUGAUAUCAUCAGGAACACCGGUGGCGAAAGCGGCUUACUGGGUCUCUUCUGACGCUGAGGAACGAAAGCUAGGGUAGCGAACGGGAUUAGAUACC
RNAcentral lists this ribosomal RNA (263 nucleotides) under uncultured bacterium. RNAcentral describes it as "partial 16S ribosomal RNA". It matches the Rfam family "Bacterial small subunit ribosomal RNA", at positions 524 to 786 of the family's 1533-position model. The record is from RNAcentral.